UCCUCUCCUCCGGUCCCCUCUCGCUGGCCCCUUCUCCUCCUCCGGCAGCCCGAGCCGGCGAGCUCCUGUAGGUUGCUCGAUCGGAUCUGGUAUGGGACCCCGUUGACUUUCUCUCGAUUCUCUCUCAAAUAUUUUCCAAGUCCUGUUAAUUUCUCAGCAUGUGCCUCUGUUUCCGAUGCGAUAACUUCUUGCAUGUAGCUCCGAUUCGCGCGUAUAAUAUGUCAAAUUGUUCGUCUUGUGAUGCUAUUCAUUUUGUUCAAUUGCACCAUGUUCAUUAGAGGUCAUCUUGAUGCCCAAAUCUUCGUUGGAAGAGGGCUAGUUGCUGUUAAUCUCUGGUUCUUAUCAGAACUUGGAGAUUUGUCAUUUUUGUAUCAUUUAUUCUGUGCAUCUUUUGAGCAUGAGCUCUACAUGUGUUUUGAAGUAUGCCAUGCCAUCUUUCCAGUGGUAUAGUCCAUGUAUUUGUGUGAUCUCUGUGGUGACUAGCACAAGCAUGCAAAGUAGACCCCGUAAUAUUUCUGAUUUCAGGGACUUCGUGAUUUCUCUAAGUCCUUGUCUGCUGUAAUUUUGUUGCCAUGUAAACUUGAUGCUACAGAGAGAUCUAUGCAUAUUUUGGAGAUGUUCAAUAAGAAUGUUUUGUAUCUAUAGUUGUAUUGAUCCAUUCCUGCAAUUGUUUGCAAUUUUAGAGUACCAUAGCAUGACUCAAUCUUGCUCUACUUUUGCUAUAAAAUAUUUCUGGCAGAUUCUUAACAUGAUAUGCAUUUUUGCCAAGCUUAUUGUAGUUGAUCCAUACAUGCUAUGCAAUUGUUCUUGCCAUGGAUAGCUUCAUAAACAUGCCAUCUUGCCGUAGGUAUGCUUGGUUUGUCAUUCAUUGCUCUGUAGUGAGUGCAACUAGCUCACAAAGAGGCCUACAUAUUAAUAUUUCUGCCAUGCUCUGUUUUCUGCUAAGUCUGAAACCUGAUAACGAAACUUGCUAUGUUUACAUGCUUGCCAUCAUAUCUUCUGGUCCUUUUUGGCUUAUGGUCAGUAAGGGACUUUUGUCAUGUGCAUUUAGUAGAACACUACCAUGCCUUGUUGUGCUAUGUUAAGUUCCUGUAGCAUGUUGAUUUCGUGCUCUGAACAUUGCUACCUGAUGCUGAUUUCUGCCAUGUCCAGUUUUUCACCAAGUCUGUGAACCUGUAAUCUUUUGCACUUUUGCCAUGCUUGUUUGAGCUUGAUAUGUUGUGAACUAGCCGUAGCUCAGUGUUCAUCUUUUGUCAAGCAUCUCCUGUAGAUUUCUGUCAUAUGCUUUGUUGCUAUGUUGGGGUGCUGUAGCAUUGUUACUUGUUGUAUUUUAAGUGCUAUCUUGCUGUUUAUCGCAGAUUAGUGUCAUUCUUGUUUUGCUUGCCAUUUGCAAACCGUGCAUCCGAUUCCGGUGAUCUUUAUAUCUAUUUCGACCGAAAUCAUCUCAUAUUUCCAGUGGCAUGCUUGGUUUGCCAAGUUACUGCCAUGUUCAUCAUUUUCCUUCCGGAGCACGCAUAUGCAUCGCAUAUCAUAUCUUGCAUUUCAUACAUGUUUUGCAUCAUGGUGUUUGCGCAUUUCUCGUUGUUGAUUGUGGUUCCGUUUGUUUGUGUUCCUGUCUUGGGUAGAGCCGGGAGACGAGUUCGUGAACGAGGAACCUGUCGAGUACGCUUACGAGGAUCAAUCUUUCGACAACUCUGAGAAUCUUGCAGGCAAGAUGACCACCCCUCGAAAUCACUUCUAUCUUUGCUAUGCUAGUUGUUCGCUCUAUUGCCAUGCUCCGCUACCUAUCAAUUGCUAUAUCAUGUCUCCCAUUUUAGCCUUGGCAGCCCUAACCAUCUUUUCCUAGCAAACCGUUGUUUGGCUAUGUUACCGCUUUUGCUCAGCCCCUCUUAUAACGUUGCUAGUUGCAGGUGAAGUUGGUUUGUUCCAUGUCGGAACAUGGAUAUGUUGGGAUAUCACAAUAUCUCUUAUUUAAUUAAUGCAUCUAUAUAUUUUGGUAAAGGGUGGAAGGCUCGGCCUUAUGCCUGGUGUUUUGUUCCACUCUUGCCGCCCUAGUUAUUGUUAUACCGGGAUUAUGUUCCUUGAGUUUGCGUUCCUUACGCGGUCGGGUGAUUUAUGGGACCCCCUUGACAGUUCGCCUUGAAUAAAACUCCUCCAGCAAGGCCCAACCUUGGUUUUACCAUUUGCGACCUAUACCUUUUUCCCCCGGGUUUUCUAGAGCCCGAGGGUCAUCUUUAUUUUAAACCCCCGGGCCAGUGUUCCUCUGAGUGCUGGUCCAAACUAGAGCCACUUGCAGCGCCACCUUGGGGAAACUCGAGGAUUGGUUUUAGCUGUACGUAGUGUUCAUCCGGUGUGCCCUGAGAACGAGAUAUGUGCAGCUCCUAUCGGGAUUUGUCGGCACAUUCGGGCGGCUUUGCUGGUCUUGUUUUACCAUUGUCGAGAUGUCUUGUAAACCGGGAUUCCGAGACUGAUCGGGUCUUUCCGGGAGAAGGUUUAUCCUUCGUUGACCGUGAGAGCUUAUGAUGGGCUAAGUUGGGACACCCCUGCAGGGUAUUAUCUUUCGAAAGCCGUGCCCGCGGUUAUGAGGCAGAUGGGAAUUUGUUAAUGUCCGGUUGUAGAUAACUUGUCACUUGACCCAAUUAAAAUACACCAAGUGCAUGUGUAGCCGUGAUGGUCUCUUCUCGGCGGAGUCUGAGAAGUGAACACGGUCUGUGUUAUGUAUGACGUAAGUAGGUGUUCAGGAUCACUUCUUGGUCAUUGCUAGAUGACGUCCGUUCCUUUGCUUCUCUUCUCGCUCUCAUUUGCGCAAGUUAGCCACCAUAUAUGCUUUUGCCGCCGCAGUUCCACCUCACUCCUCCUCCUCUUCCUAUAAGCUUAAAUAGUCUUGAUCUCGCGGGUGUGAGAUUGCUGAGUCCCCGUGACUCACAGAUUCUACCAAAACAGUUGCAGGGGUCGAUGAUGCCAGUGCAGAUGAUGGCGUCGAUCUCAAGUGGGAGUUCGACGAGGAACGUGGUCGUUACUAUGUGUCUUUUCCUGAUGAUUAGUAGUGGAGCCCAGUUGGGACGAUCGGGGAUCUAGCAUUUGGGGUUGUCUUAUUUUUCUUCUGGAUUUUGACCGUAGUCGGUCUAUAUGAUUGUAUUUUGGAUGAUGUAUGAAUGAUAUUUAUGUAUUGUGUGAAGUGGCGAUUGUAAGCCAACUCUUUAUCCCAUUCUUGUUCAUUAC
Molecule: long non-coding RNA, 3222 nt
Filed under: Triticum aestivum (bread wheat)
Lineage: Eukaryota; Viridiplantae; Streptophyta; Magnoliopsida; Poales; Poaceae
Description: long non-coding RNA (TAES_LNC000267)
Source: RNAcentral